CCUACGGGUCGCACCAGUGGGGAAUAUUGGACAAUGGGCGAAAGCCUGAUCCAGCAAUGCCGCGUGUGUGAAGAAGGUCUUCGGAUUGUAAAGCACUUUCGACGGGGACGAUGACGACGGUACCCGUAGAAGAAGCCCCGGCUAACUUCGUGCCAGCAGACGCGGUAAUACGAAGGGGGCUAGCGUUGCUCGGAAUGACUGGGCGUAAAGGGCGCGUAGGCGGUUUAUGCAGUCAGAUGUGAAAUCCCCGGGCUUAACUUGGGAACUGCAUUUGAGACGCAUAGACUAGAGGUCGAGAGAGGGUUGUGGAAUUCCCAGUGUAGAGGUGAAAUUCGUAGAUAUUGGGAAGAACACCGUGGCGAAGGCGGCAACCUGGCUCGAUACUGACACUGAGAGACGUAAGCUGGGGGAGCGAAUGGGAUUAGAUACCCUUGUAGUC
RNAcentral lists this ribosomal RNA (439 nucleotides) under uncultured bacterium. RNAcentral describes it as "bacterial SSU rRNA". It matches the Rfam family "Bacterial small subunit ribosomal RNA", at positions 338 to 795 of the family's 1533-position model. The record is from RNAcentral.